This 329-nucleotide ribosomal RNA is filed under the name uncultured eukaryote. RNAcentral describes it as "partial 18S ribosomal RNA". It matches the Rfam family "Eukaryotic small subunit ribosomal RNA", at positions 1470 to 1796 of the family's 1831-position model. The record is from RNAcentral.
CCCUUAGAUGUUCUGGGCCGCACGCGCGCUACACUGACGAUGGCAACGAGUUUUUCCUUCGCCGAAAGGUGUGGGUAAUCUUUUGAAACAUCGUCGUGCUGGGGAUAGAUCAUUGCAAUUUUUGAUCUUGAACGAGGAAUUCCUAGUAAGCGCGAGUCAUCAGCUCGCGUUGAUUACGUCCCUGCCCUUUGUACACACCGCCCGUCGCUACUACCGAUUGAAUGGUUUAGUGAGGACUCCCGAUUGGCGCCGCCGCCCCGGCAACGGAGCAGCGGACUGCCGAAAAGUUGUUCAAACUUGAUCAUUUAGAGGAAGUAAAAGUCGUAACA